This 1735-nucleotide long non-coding RNA is filed under the name Cricetulus griseus (Chinese hamster). RNAcentral's name for it is "lncRNA (ENSCGRG00000025593.1)". Lineage: Eukaryota; Metazoa; Chordata; Mammalia; Rodentia; Cricetidae. The record is from RNAcentral.
AUGUCGGGUGGAGGAGUUGACAGCACAACUCAUCCCUCUCAGGUUAACCCAACUUGGUUUCCUUAUAGGAAUCUUGGCUCCUUGGCAUCUUCAGAGUCUCUUCUAUCAAAGCACAGGCUGCCGAGGACUUGGAGUCACCGGAGCUGUGGUCUCCUGCUCUGGAGGAGGCUACACAACGUGGAAUUCCCUCUCUUGAGCACAAAGGACUUCAAGCAACUCAGAUCCUGCACAAGAAUCUUUGGCUGCUUGGCAUCUCCACAGCCUCUUCUCCCAAAGCACAGGCUGCUGAGGACCUGGACACUGCAGGAAUUUGGUGAGAGCAAAUGCUUUCAUUUGUUUAUGGGUUGGGGAGAGGUUAAGGGUGCUGAAUUAUGCUUGGUCAACAACAGAUUUCCUCAGACCUGACGUUAGCCCUCAGUGCCACAAACAGGAAGUCUUACCUUGGUAACUCUGUGUACUGCCAAAUUAAGCUUGGUCUAAGUCUGGCUGCUGAGGCAGGGGAAGAGGGGUUCGUGUAGACCACCAGAGCCCCUUGAGGAUGCCCCAUCGUCUUCGAGAUCCGACCCUACAGCUGAAACAGACGUAAGAUCUCUACACAGAGAAGAAUGAAGUUAGAUCUCACCCUAAAUAUACAGGAAACUAAAAACAGACUAAAGAGAUAAAAUUUCACAUCCCACAGCUGGGUUACUAAAAGAUAAGCCCCAGAAGCCCUCAUCUCUUCAGGGUCAAAGGCUGGAUAGAGGUUAGGGGACACAUUCACAGCAGAUUCACAAAUGCAAGAGAGGCUUUUGACAAAAAUGUUAAUGUCGCUAAUUAUUGAAAUGCAGGAAGCACAGUGAUAUAUGAUUUGGUCUUGUCAGAAUGACUGAUUAUUUUAUUCCUUUCAUCAUUAUUGCUUUAUUAGUAUUGAUGUUUUGCCUGCCCGCCUGUAUGUACACCAGGUGUGUGCCUGGAGCUCUGCAGAAAUAAAGAGGGUGACAGAGUGCCUGAAACUGGAGUUACAGAAGGCUGAGAGUCAUCAUGUGGGUGCUGGGAAUUGAACCAGGGUCCUUUGGAGGAGCAGCCAGUGCUCUUCACUGCUGAACUAUGCCUUCAGCACCAUGAAUUUUUUAAGAUUAAUUUUAUUUUAUUUUCAUGUAUAGAACUUGAGUCUUGUGCAAGAGCAGCUGGUGCUCAUGACCACGGAGCCUCUCUCUCCAGCUCUCCUCAUCCUGCAAUUACUGUUAUCAGAAAAGUGAAAGGUAAAUGUUGUCAUUGAUGUGGAGUAAAGGGAUCCCUGCACAGUGUCAGGGAGAGUAUGAAUUAGAGUGGAUAUCUUGGAAAACAUAGAGGCACCUGAAGUGAGAAAUACUACUAGGUUUGUUUAAGAGAAAUGAAGUCAUUGUGCCAGAGAGACAGCUGCAUGUCCCUGGCCAUUGCUGCAUUUUUGAAAAAGUCAAAAUAUGAAAUCAUGGAUGGAAUAUGUAGUACACUCACACAUUAGUCAAUAUGGAGUCUUAAAAGGAAGGAAAUAUAGUCAUUUGUGUACACAUGGAAGAGCCUGAAUGACAUUACAUAAUGUAAAAUGAUCCAGGCACAGAAGAGCCAAUCUUGUAUGAAUUCACUUAUGUAAGGAAUCUAAAGAACCUGAUAUGAUGGUAGUAGAAGUUAGGGUAGCAAGGAGCAGGAGUGGGCUUACAUGUUGAAAGAUUUAAAAUGUUGUCAUGUAAGGGGAGCAUUGCAGAACAGGGUGCCA